AUACGUAGGGGGCGAGCGUUGUCCGGAAUGAUUGGGCGUAAAGGGCGCGUAGGCGGCCCGGUAAGUCUGGAGUGAAAGUCCUGUUUUUAAGAUGGGAAUUGCUUUGGAUACUGUCGGGCUUGAGUGCAGGAGAGGUAAGUGGAAUUCCCAGUGUAGCGGUGAAAUGCGUAGAGAUUGGGAGGAACACCAGUGACGAAGGCGACUUACUGGACUGUAACUGACGCUGAGGCGCGAAAGUGUGGGGAGCAAACAGGAUUAGAUACCCUGGUAGUCCACACUGUAAACGAUGAAUGCUAGGUGUAGGGGGUAUCGACCCCUUCUGUGCCGCAGUCAACACAAUAAGCAUUCCGCCUGGGGAGUACGGCCGCAAGGUUGAAACUCAAAUGAAUUGACGGGG
RNAcentral lists this ribosomal RNA (397 nucleotides) under uncultured bacterium. RNAcentral describes it as "partial 16S ribosomal RNA". It matches the Rfam family "Bacterial small subunit ribosomal RNA", at positions 523 to 918 of the family's 1533-position model. The record is from RNAcentral.